This 1081-nucleotide unclassified non-coding RNA is filed under the name Hevea brasiliensis (rubber tree). The record is from RNAcentral. Lineage: Eukaryota; Viridiplantae; Streptophyta; Magnoliopsida; Malpighiales; Euphorbiaceae.
GGAACAGAUUUAGCCACAGCAUCAAUGAUUUUCAUCUUAUUGAUUCCAGUAUUUGCUCGGGAUUCAUAAAGCACUGCGAACUUCUUUGGACUGUCGCUUUCAGCAGGUAGGUAUUUUGUAAUGAGAGGUGUUAUUGCUUUUCCAAUUUCCUCCUCUGAUGCAUAACAUGUUACUUCAACUGGUAACACUCGCAAGAUGAACCUUGAUACAUGUUUCUUUGUCAAGGCAAGUGAGGACAGCAUAUGUUGAACGAUUUCCUUAGGGUUGGGGUCUCCAUCUUUCUUGCUCAUGUGAACAAACACAACACCGUUGCAACCUGUGUCUAGGUAGCUAAAACGCCUCUUGCUUUUGUCUCCCAACUCAGCAAGCUCAGCAUCAAUUAGUCUAUCAAUAGAUUUCUCCUCUGUCUUACCAAAUGCAAUAUUUCCAGCUUCUGCUGCUUCUUUUUCCACACAUUGUUUCUUUGCAGGUGGCUCCCCAACUUCAAUAUCUUUCUGUUCAAGAGUAUUCUCUAGCUCCUCCUUAUUCUCAGUAUUUCCUUGUAUUAGUUCAUCAGUAGAGGUGUUAUCCUGGUUUUCAGGCUCGGAUGCACCAGUUUUUAAGCUGUCAAUCUCAUCGUCAGUUUUCUCCUGAUGUUGCUCAAUUUUUGAAGUCUCCUCCUUGGUCUGGUCCUCGCCAUUCCCAUUUUCUCCAUCUUCAUCAUCAUCAUCACUACUAGAAGAAUCAGAAUAUUUGAAAACAGUCUUUUUGUUUACAGGUUUUUCUGAUAAUUCUACCUGUCCUAAGUUUAAAUUUGUCCCCUGCACCAGCUCUUCAUAAAAAGAGUCGAUAACAUUAACAGCUUCUUGAGAGGCUUGUCGUUCCCUUCCACCGUCACAUGUUAUAUAAAACCCUUGAACUCCUGGACGUAAAGGGUAUGCACCUUUCUUCACUGAUUUAUUGUUUGGACGAUAUCGUUGCCUAUUCUUGUUGUUACUCUUCGUUUUUUGCUUUGAUUUGUUGUCUGUGGCCAUUGAAAACGAGAGCAAAACAGUGGCUGCAGUGGUGGAGAAGAUGGACUGUAGCGAAAGGAAGAAAAUUU